RNAcentral lists this ribosomal RNA (355 nucleotides) under uncultured bacterium. RNAcentral's name for it is "bacterial SSU rRNA". It matches the Rfam family "Bacterial small subunit ribosomal RNA", at positions 335 to 682 of the family's 1533-position model. The record is from RNAcentral.
ACUCCUACGGGAGGCAGCAGUAGGGAAUCUUCCGCAAUGGGCGCAAGCCUGACGGAGCAACGCCGCGUGAGCGAGGAAGGCCUUCGGGUUGUAAAGCUCAGUCAAGGGGGAAGAGCGGCAAGGAGAGGGAAUGCUCUUUGCGAGACGGUACCCCGAGAGGAAGCCCCGGCAAACUACGUGCCAGCAGCCGCGGUAAUACGUAGGGGGCAAGCGUUGUCCGGAAUCACUGGGCGUAAAGGGUGCGUAGGCGGUUCUGCAAGUCUGGGGUGAAAGGCCAGGGCUCAACCUUGGGAAUGCCUUGGAAACUGUAGGACUCGAGUACUGGAGAGGCAAGGGGAAUUCCACGUGUAGCGGU